AACCGCAAACCCGAAGGUCGAAGGGAGAAAUUCAUUCGCGUUUCGACGCAGGCGUUCGGGCGGAGUCUCGUGCGACGGGACGCGUUCGCGUUCUCCUAGCGACGAACGCGCGCGUCUCGCGCCCUCCGUCCCUCGAACCGGCGACGAACGCGUGCACUUUUCUCCUGGUAGGACGUCGCGAUCCGUCGGGCGUCGGUCUACGACUCGCGGUGGAGACCGUCCGUCGUCCUCGAGACGCACGGGACGGACCCGCUCGUUCCGGCCGACUCGCUCGACGGUACGAACCGGUGUACGGUCGGAGGCCGCUCGAUCUCUCUCACGUAAAUCUAAAACGAGAGAGAGAGAAAAUGAAAAAGGAGCGUUCGACUCGUCGCAAGCGCGCCACGUGCGUCGGCACGCGGACCCCGUGCCGCGUCCGACCUCUGGCGACUGUUGGCGACGACGUUCUCGGACAGACCUCUUCGUCUCCUCUUUUUUCCUUUCCGGUUUUCUUCGUCCCGUCUCUCUCGUCGUUUCGUCGUCCGGUGGUUUUCUUUUCUUUUCUGCGCGGCGCGCGCGCGUGUCGCGUCUCGUUCUUCGGACGGGGCGCGCUCGCUCGCUCGCGCUCGCGUGGCGAGAGAGAUCGCCGGCGGCGACUGCGCGGCGGCGGGGUCACCGGAGAGAACGUCUCGGAGGGGGAGAGCUGCGGAGGAGACGAUUCGGACCUAUCGGCGACGCUAUAGCUUUGGGUACUCUCGGGACCCGUCUUGAAACACGGACCAAGGAGUCCAGCACGUACGCGAGUCAUUGGGAAUUUUGCUAAACCCAAAGGCGCAAUGAAAGUGAAGGUCUUCCUUUGCGCGAAGACCGAGGGAAGACGGACGGACGUACGGACGGUGUGUCGUCCCGCAUUCCCGGGGCGUCUCGUUCGCGCGCGCGCUUCGAUCGCGCGCGCGGAGAGGCGCACCAAGAGCGUACACGCUGGGACCCGAAAGAUGGUGAACUAUGCCUGGUCAGGACGAAGUCAGGGGAAACCCUGAUGGAGGUCCGUAGCGAUUCU
This 1039-nucleotide ribosomal RNA is filed under the name Xyleborus aplanatideclivis. RNAcentral describes it as "eukaryotic LSU rRNA". The stretch from base 632 to 1039 matches the Rfam family "Eukaryotic large subunit ribosomal RNA", at positions 1 to 887 of the family's 3401-position model. Lineage: Eukaryota; Metazoa; Arthropoda; Insecta; Coleoptera; Curculionidae. The record is from RNAcentral.